UUUGAGAGGAAGAAACGCAGGCAGGGAGCACUUCCUGGAAUCUGAAGAAGCAGCCAUGGGAGAAGAGAAACAAGGAGGAGAGGAAGGAGGGGAGAAGGAAGCGAGAGGGGCUACUGAUCUCUUUGGACAAGGAGACUAUCAGCUGCAUUCUCUGGUCUCAGUGUAUUACACAUAUGCACCAUGUUGGGUGCUCCUCCAGAAGCAUCUCUGUGUUGUGCUGCAAAUAUCAAGACAUCACAGUCGGGACCCGGCCUGGGAAGCCAGUCACCUCUGUCCAGACAUCAAAUGGGACUCCUGUGCGUCUCCAACUCAGACACAGACCUUGGAGGCUCCACUGGGACUUGGUAAGGUCUUCAAUAAAGUACAAGCCUAGGCAAAACUCAAAGGGGUCUCUGCCUGGUGGCGGGCCUCUGGAAGGUAUUUUGGCUCUUUGUCUCCAAACUGUCAGUGCCCAUCAGCCAAAGACCACCAGGGCACUCUGUGCCUGGACAAGUCAGGUUUAUUGCUCACUGCAGCGAGGGCAAAUGCACACCAUGGAGAAGUGCUGGGAAGGACUUAUUAUAGGAUUUGGGCCAGGCUAGGUGAUCUGGGGAAGGGUUUAAGGAAGCCAGGCUUUGCUCUGGACUGGAUGCUGUCAGGAAGCAGGGAUAAUUUGACGACUAAGUGUCUCAUUAAAUAAAUGGUAUCGAGUAGGAGGGCAGACUAGAAUGAGGCUCCAUCUGUAAUUGGCCAGGAAGCUGCAGUCACUUGGAUUAGCCACAAUGGGGGGUGGGGUUUGCUCAUCUCUGUGGUUUGGGCACUGUUUGUAUUUUUGCCUGUGUUCACACGUGAUUAUGGAGUGGUCUUGUUUUUGACUCUAUCCACCAUGGUCAGGAUGGCCUUGUAUGAGGCUAAUGUGUUGUGAAUCUGUUUCUGUUCAACGCAACACCCAAGCCUAGUGGGGAGUACUAAGCCAGUUUUUAGCAACACCAAGGCCUUGCUGACAGUCCCAGCCAGCUUCCAGAUGUCAGGGGCUAUGUUUCUCUUUCUCAAAAUGUUCAUUUUGAGAUGAUCCCUGUUUUCCAACCAGGGCUUGGCAGUCCAGUAUUUAAAUACUCAGACCCUCCCUGUACUCUGACCCAGUCACACCCAUCUGUAGAACCAGCCAGGCAGGGGAACGUCAUCACUGGCCUGAGCUGUGUGUCUCUGUGUGUGGUUUUGUGUACGUGUGUCUGUGCCACCAGAAAUUCCCUGAUAAGAUGGGAAAGAGGCCAGAAGCAGUCGUCUUUCACCUCCAGGCCCAGCAGGACUUUCCCUCUGACCAGAGAGCAAGGCACUGGGAUCGAGUCCCAACAACUGCUAGGGCAGCAAGGGUGGCCGGCUUUAGGUGGAGUCAGGGAAGGACAGAGGGGAUACUGUGGCAGCCAAGCUUGAGAGGAGUGGGAAAGGGAAGGGGUAGUGGUGGAAGGGAGGGGAGGGUUCUUUUGUACUAACGGGUCUCUAGAGAAGCUGCUGGUUUUCCUUCAAGGAAGCAGCCUGCAGUAGGUCACUGUGGGUUCCCCACCCCCAUCCCUUUCUGCUUUAAGCCUCUUGUCUCCAAAACAGGCUCUGUUGAUUAGAACAACAAAGUCACAUAUGUUGACCUCAUCCUCCACUAAGAGGCUUAUUCUGACCCCUUUCCAAUCAAACACACUUCCUUUCCUCAGGUCUAUCUCUCUAGCCAAAGUAUGAGGACAUCUCUUGCCGUGCCUUACCAAUGGCCAGAGGCCAGUACCAUCAUGACAUGGUACCGAGGUGCCAUCAGGUAUCGGUUGUAAAAUGGCAAAGAAAAGCGAGGUUGAAGUCAAAUGGGUGGGCUCCAAAUGCUGGAUAUUUUGGCAGAGCCCCAGCUUUGCAGGGCGUUACUAGCCCUGCACUGUGCUGUGGCCCAAUCACAGGCCAGCUAUCGAGGGCCAAAGCUCAGCUGGCACUGCUCAUCUGAACAGUUAGAAAUUGUUCCUUGUGAUCCUUGGGGACCCAGACAGAUUAAAUGCAUCCUGGGUUAAGUGGCAAGUUGCAGCAGUGAGGGAAGUGAUGGGGGUCUGAUAACCUGGAUAAGAGAGAACAGAGGCUGCAAGGCAGAGACUCAUUUCUACAGUAAGCAUCGCCCCACCAAGCAACCAUGGACUUGGUCAGCACUUUGCUAGGGUUUUGAGGGGAGGGGCACGUUGCCCCAUCCUGAGGAAAAAAGCCUCUGAUCUGGGAGAGCUUACAAUUAAUUUAGGGAGCAAACACUAAUAAUGCAGAGAAUUACUUAAAGAACAAUCAAGUUCAAAGGCAGUAAGUGUAAUUGGAGUUCAGAGGUGAAAUCAUGCACAGGCACUAGUCCAACUGGUAACACGUCACCACAGUGGGAUUUCAUUCGGGCCUUGAAAGAUGAGCAGGAUUUGGAUCUGUAGAAGGGAAUAGCGAUGGUGUUCCAGAUGUGAAGAGCACAAACAAGUUUAUAGGUGACAAUAAACCACACGUGUAUGUGCAGAUGCACACAUGCACGUGACAUCACAGGAAAGGAGGCCCACAGGGCACAGGGGGUUGAGGUCAGGAACACUAUGGAAGGCUUUGGACUUGAUGUGGCUGUUGAUAGCGAGUCCAUGUACAUUCUUCAACAGGGGGUGAGGUGGGGGGACAUGGACCGAGUGAUGCUUUCAGAAGUGGUCAACUAAGGAUGGGCGCGCUGGUUAAUCUCCAUUCUUGGUGUAUCCGCAGUGCUUUGUGUGUCUUCCUAUGGACAUAUCCGACUGUAUUAUACUUCUGCGCUCACAUGUCUGCUUUCCUCACUGGCACCAGGAGCUCCUUAGAAGAAGUGGCCAUGUUUUCUCCAUCUUCCUAUUCUGCCAUCUACCUGGCUCAUAGUAAGCACUCAAUGAAUACUGAUUAGAUGAAGAGAUCAUUUCAUUUUAAUUCACUGAAUUAUUAACAACAUUCCAUAAAGAAUGACAGCCGUCAAAGAAUUAGACUAAAUUGCACAUAACAAGGCGAGUCAUAAUUUGAUCUUUUUAAAAAUUUGUGAAACGCUUCAGGAUCUUGUGGUGUAUUACUGUAUAAGUCCCAUUUCACAUGCUACUAGAUGAGCUUUCUACCUACAGAUUGAGAUAUGCCAGGCAUCAGAUCCUAUUUCACUAAACCUGUAUACAUUUAGUAAGAACCUGUUCUGGUGCAGCUAGUUCUUAAAGUGGACAUCUGUCCUGUUCUAGUGUUCAGAAGAGAUUUCAUUGUAGCUGCAACUCCCUUUAAACAAACUCAAGAUUGAAAACAAAAUCCAGCCUGGUAAUAAUUUUCUCUUUACAAAAAGAUUCAUAAUGGACACUUGAAAGUAGGAAAAAUUUCCUCUUAAUUGAAGUAAGAUUUGAUUUUUAAAAGUUAAGUAAUCAGAAAUUCAAAAAGUGAGUUGAUUUAUGAAACUGCCUUCUAUUCCCAGGAAAUCAUCUAUAAAGUGAGGCAUGCCUAUAAGCCUAUUUGAGAUGAAAGGGGUUAGGAGAGGACAGAUUUCUAAUCUGGGGACAGUGGGCAAAGGAGUUGAGAGACAGACCAUGAUCUCUCAAAGAGUCAGGCUCCAGGUUUAGCCAUGAAGCACCAGGUCUUUGAUCCUUUGUUUCUGUUUGCAAUAAAUGUCUUUUCUGCCCUCCCCUCCCACGACCAACCAGUUUGGGGCCAGAGGGUACAUACAGGAGUUGUUCCAGGUAGAGCAGAGUCUAGUCCACAGGUUUAUGUGUUCACUCAUUCAACAAAUUACUAAGUACCUACUAUGAGCCAGACCCUGUGCUAAGCUCUGGAGAGCGAAUCAUAAGCAAGACAGUAAAGCCAGAGUUCUGGCUUCCAGGAAGCUGCAGAGCAGCAGGGAGACACAGAAACAAGGAACAGGCUUGGAAAGGUCGGGAAAGUCUUCAUAGACCUUCCCCAGAGGAGGGGAGAGGCAUCAAGUGCUAUGGGCAAGGGCCACAGGAGGCCAAUACAGAAAGGUCUGGAGGGGCGAGGGAGAAGUUCAGGGAACCAAAAAAAAGUUUCGAGUGAAGCAGGGAAAGCAAGGCUGAGGAAGAUCAUGCACUUGGUAGGAGCUCCGACUGGCUUGCUCUCUAAUAUGCAGAGCUUUCCUCCCUUCACCCACUUGCUCCCUUUCAAAGAGAACAGAAAUUAAUUUAGAAGAAGCACGUUUUAUUUAGUGAUGUGAACGUUAAGAAUUUGCCUACAUGGUUGAAAUAUUCACAAAGGACUUGAUCAUUCACACUCAUACAUCCAGAGGAUGUCUGCUGAAUAAAAAAUGCUCCUUUACCCAUCCAAGUUGCUGUCAGGGACAGUGAAGUGCCUGCCUAUUCCACGGGGGCCUCAGUCUUCAUGAAUGUUGAAGAGUUUGGCUACUUCGUUGAGAUCUUCAUGUUGCUCACCAUCCUUAAUGAUCUAAGGGAGAUGGUAACAAUCAGUAUAACUCACUCCGUGUGCAUUUGGGCCACACUUUAUGACAGGGCAGCCUGGGCCAGUCCCCACUUCACACUGGGAGGGACGUGUGGGAACGGCUUUCUACCCAGCCCAAGUGAGCAUGUGCCAACGGCCAGGCCACCCAGCCAAGUCCGGAGUAGAAAAGAAACAGUCCUGAGCCAAGGCUAGACCUUUGUUCUGCUCGGGCACAGUCUGACCUGGGUGGACAAUGCAUGGCAGGGCACCCGAUGAAGUCACAGGAGGGUUUCCGGCCCACACUUCCCAUCUCCUUCUUAGAGCUCUGCCAGGCACCUACCUUCCUUGCUAUCGGCAUUCGGUUGAAGAUGUUCCACAGCACGAUCCCCACCACCACUUUGUCCCUGAGGUAGAAGAUGACACCUUUGCCGUAGUCCUCCCCUUGAGUGGGGGCCUGGGGAACUGCAGGGUUGCUGGGAGGAAGAGUGAUUUCUGAGGCCUCGGACUCUGUCUCACUCUCUGAUCGGAUACCAGUCCCUGUGGCCAACCCCC
Non-coding RNA from Vicugna pacos (alpaca), 4959 nucleotides. The record is from RefSeq and is a predicted model, not a curated record. Lineage: Eukaryota; Metazoa; Chordata; Mammalia; Artiodactyla; Camelidae.